UUACUGUUGGGUCUCAGUCUGAACAAAGCAACACAAACGCCAUUGUCCCCUACUGAAUCCUAACAGAAAUAAGGCCAUACAAUAUGUAUGAUGUGUUGAUUCCAAGGUAGACACCUUAACGUUAACGGGAAUCGGUCCUGUAAAGAACUAGGUGUGAAACCGGCAAACAUCAAUGUCGCCGGCAGCUGGAUUUCGUCUUUCUUCUGUCCUGCGGCUGCCGCUCAACUAUCAAAUUAUAAGAAGUUAUACGUGCUACCUGUAUCUGACGCACAGGUAAUUCACGAGCGUUUGCCUGUGACGUCAGGACAAUUUGAACUCACUUUCCAUUGUCACCUGCCUCAGACGACGGCAGACAGAUAUCACCUUUUCAUAUUGUUGAUGUUUCUACUUACAGAUCUGUCAGCGCAGGGUAACAGGUUCGACUUGGCUAGGCUGUGUGAAGAAGCUGGUUACUGGAAGUACAACAUAGUCACAUCGGUAUCACGUCGGUUUGGCAUUACCCUCCUGAAUGCCAUGAUGGCAGCACUGGUAGCCAUGUGCCUCGUCUUCAUGACAUUUCCUGACAGGGUACCAGGUGAAAACUUCCAGCAAACACUGUUCAGAAAAGACAUGAAUUUUGACGAUAUAACUGUUUCAGAAAAUGUUGUUUUAGAAGCAUCUAAAAUUGAGACAGUCACCUCCUGUGCCAGAUUAUGUGCUGAGCACUCGAAAUGUGAAUCAUUCUUUUACAACCGAGUUCUUCAAGUCUGCAGUGGCCAACCUUCUUCUCUGGACACGACUACUGCUGGCUUCAGUCAACCAGGGUCCAAGUACUUCAAACAAGACUUGGUAAUUCCUGAAAAGGUCAAUGGCAGCUGUUUCCACAAUGCAACUGAGACCGCCAGUAGCAGUGCUGCCGAGGCCGUAUGCGGGCCUGGAAAAAUGUUGAAGCUCGCUGAAGUGGGUAACCCGACGCCACUGGUGACUCGAGAGAUGAUUGUUGACGGGCAUUGCAUGGAGGACAGAUGGAAUAGCGGGACGACUGUGUCCUUCUUCUGCAUCAGACACUGCCUGAUGUAUCCACUCGACUCGACUCAAGAUUGUACCUCCGCUGUCAUACAAUCUCAGUAUGUCUGUCUAUAAAGACGAUACACACUAAAUAUCGAAACAUAUUUAGACUAUUUAUGUCUAUUUUGCUAAUGUCUACUUUCGUCUAAUAUUGCAAAACGAAUAAAACUUUGUGACGAAUCACUUUCAGAUCAAGUUCAAAUCCUGGUAAUAUCAUGGUGUUUUCACUGUGAAUUAAUACUUUUGUUGUUGCGUAUAAUGCUCUUCGUAUGAAAAUAACACGACAGUAUUAUCGCAGGAUGAAUAUUGGAUCCAUUAUCUCUUGACUUUGAUUUGUAAUUAGAACUGCAUAUGCUGUCGUAUCCACAUUCAGAUUUGUUAUCCAAUAACCGACACCGUUCAAUGAGAAGACAGAUAAAUGAUGUCCCCCAAAUGGCCCCCUUUUUUCGCCGCUGAUUACAUUAAUAUGAUUAUGUAAUGAUGGAAAUGUAAUCCAAAUAUGUCAAGUACAUAAUUUAUCCUGAUUAGUUGUGAUAAAUUUUACAUGAUAAUUAUUUCGUUGCUUUUAACUUGCGAAGUAUUAAAAAGUGAAAUCCUAUAGCAAAUCAAACUUUCACUCAGCACUGUGCCAGCAUGCAUGCCCUCACUACCACCAAUCAGUGUAUUACUCCACUUUAAACAUUGUUAGAUAAGUUAAGCUUCUUUUCAGAUCUGACCUGAUCUUGUUUUGAAUACAUAUUCACUUGGUGCAAAAUCUCAUGUAGCUUGGUAUGCGUUGACUGUGUUUCUUCCAUAAGUGUACAGGCGUUUUCAGUCGUCGGAUCACCUUUUUCUUAUUUGUAAGUGUUACUUUAUUGUGUGCGUCUUCAAUUCAUUAUCUAUUCUGAUAUCACUAGAUUAUCGAUACCAUGCACCAAGCAAGUAUUUCGCUGACUGUGGCUUCAUGCAGCAACCAAGCACACGAUAAGAUAGACGAGAGUCAGGACCAAUUAAUUAGAAUGUGUAUGGUCAAUAUGAUGUUCCAGGUUGAGAGCAACAGAUCUAGAUUACUAAUUAUAUUACAAAUACCUCAUUAUACUAAACACUCCAUAAAUAGUUUGAAUGAAUCACAGUAUAUGGUUUGGUUUGCACAGAUAAGCUUUAUAUCCUGUAUUUUUUAAACUGCAAAUUACGGAUAAUUGUUUUAAGGUUCAUUGUGUUCGCUUAACAUUUAGCAUUGUGCCUGUACGUGUUAGAUAGAUGUUACAGUUAGAUAUUUCAUUGUUAUUGUACGUUUGAGAUAGAUGUUACAGUUUAGAUUGUUACUGUACGUUUUAGAUAGAUGUUACAGUUUAGAUCAUUCAUUGUUCCUGUACGUUUUAGAUAGAUGUUACAGUUUAGAUCAUUCAUUGUUACUGUACGUGUUAGAUAGAUGUUACAGUUUAGAUCAUUCAUUGUUCCUGUACCUAUUAGAUAGAUGUUACAGUUUAGAUCAUUCAUUGUUCCUCUACGUAUUAGAUAGAUGUUACAGUUUAGAUAAUUCAUUGUUACUGUACGUUUGAGAUAGGUGUUACAGUUUAGAUUGUUACUGUACGUUUUAGAUAGAUGUUACAGUUUGUUACAGGUUAGAUCAUUCAAUCUUCCUGUACGUUUGAGAUAGAUGUUACAGUUUAGAUUAUUCAUUGUUACUGUACGUUUUAGAGAGAUGUUACAGUUUAUAUCAAUCGUUGUUACUGUACGUUUUAGAUAGCUGUUACAGUUUAGAUCAUUCAUUGUUUCUGUACGCUUGAGAUAGAUGUUACAGUUUAGAUUGUUGCUGUACGUUUGAGAUAGAUGUUACAGUUUAGAUCAUUCAUUGUUGCUGUACGCUUGAGAUAGAUGUUACAGUUUAGAUUGUUACUGUACGUGUUAGAUAGAUGUUACAGUUUUGAUCAUUCAUUGUUACUGUACGUUUUAGAUAGAUGUUACAGUUUAGAUCAUUCAUUGUUCUUGUACGUUUUAGAGAGUUGUUACAGUUUAGAUCAUUCAUUAUUACUGUACGUUUUAGAUAGAUGUUACAGUUUAGAUCAUUAAUUGUUGCUGUACGUGUUAGAGACAUGUUACAGUUUAGAUCAUUCAUUGUUCCUGUACGUUUGAAAUAGAUUUUACAGUUUAGAUUUUACUGAGUCCCGGAAGAGGGUGGAGACUCGUUGUUUGUCAACUUGUAUAGAUAGAGGAUGAAGAGUCCCGGAAGAGGGUGGAGACUCGUUGUUUGUCAACCUGUAUAGAUAGAGGAUGA
Molecule: unclassified non-coding RNA, 3304 nt
Filed under: Haliotis rubra (blacklip abalone)
Lineage: Eukaryota; Metazoa; Mollusca; Gastropoda; Lepetellida; Haliotidae
Description: uncharacterized LOC124288381, transcript variant X5
Source: RNAcentral